RNAcentral lists this ribosomal RNA (207 nucleotides) under uncultured bacterium. RNAcentral's name for it is "partial 16S ribosomal RNA". It matches the Rfam family "Bacterial small subunit ribosomal RNA", at positions 568 to 775 of the family's 1533-position model. The record is from RNAcentral.
CGCGUAGGCGGCCUUGUAAGUCUCGUGUGAAAGCCCUCGGCUUAACUGAGGAUCUGCACGGGAUACUGCGAGGCUUGAGUUCGGGAGAGGAAAGCGGAAUUCCGGGUGUAGCGGUGAAAUGCGUAGAUAUCCGGAGGAACACCAGUGGCGAAGGCGGCUUUCUGGACCGACACUGACGCUGAUGCGCGAAAGCUAGGGAGCAAAACG